AUUGAACGCUGGCGGCAUGCUUUACACAUGCAAGUCGAGCGGCAGCGCGGGGGCAACCCUGGCGGCGAGCGGCGAACGGGUGAGUAAUGCAUCGGAACGUAUCCUCGAGUGGGGGAUAACCCAGCGAAAGUUGGGCUAAUACCGCAUGAGCUCUGAGGAGGAAAGCGGGGGACCUGCGAGGGCCUCGCGCUGGAGGAGCGGCCGAUGUCCGAUUAGCUAGUUGGUGGGGUAAAGGCUUACCAAGGCGACGAUCGGUAGCUGGUCUGAGAGGAUGAUCAGCCACACUGGGACUGGGACACGGCCCAGACUCCUACGGGAGGCAGCAGUGUGGAAUUUUGGACAAUGGGGGCAACCCUGAUCCAGCCAUGCCGCGUGAGUGAAGAAGGCCUUCGGGUUGUAGAGCUCUUUCGGACGGAACGAAAUGGGCGGGACUAAUACUCCUGUCUGAUGACGGUACCGUAAGAAGAAGCACCGGCUAACUACGUG
This 486-nucleotide ribosomal RNA is filed under the name uncultured bacterium. RNAcentral describes it as "partial 16S ribosomal RNA". It matches the Rfam family "Bacterial small subunit ribosomal RNA", at positions 29 to 507 of the family's 1533-position model. The record is from RNAcentral.